RNAcentral lists this unclassified non-coding RNA (348 nucleotides) under soil metagenome. RNAcentral's name for it is "partial contains 5.8S ribosomal RNA, internal transcribed spacer 2, and large subunit ribosomal RNA". The stretch from base 1 to 120 matches the Rfam family "5.8S ribosomal RNA", at positions 35 to 154 of the family's 154-position model. The record is from RNAcentral.
GAUGAAGAACGUAGCGAAAUGCGAUAAGUAAUGUGAAUUGCAGAAUUCAGUGAAUCAUCGAAUCUUUGAACGCACAUUGCGCCCGCCAGUAUUCUGGCGGGCAUGCCUGUCUGAGCGUCAUUUCAACCCUCAUGCCCCUAGGGCGUGGUGUUGGGGAUCGGCCAAAGCCCGCGAGGGACGGCCGGCCCCUAAAUCUAGUGGCGGACCCGUCGUGGCCUCCUCUGCGAAGUAGUGAUAUUCCGCAUCGGAGAGCGAUGAGCCCCUGCCGUUAAACCCCCAACUUUCCAAGGUUGACCUCAGAUCAGGUAGGAAUACCCGCUGAACUUAAGCAUAUCAAUACGCGGAGGA